Molecule: long non-coding RNA, 232 nt
Organism: Balaenoptera ricei (Rice's whale)
Lineage: Eukaryota; Metazoa; Chordata; Mammalia; Artiodactyla; Balaenopteridae
Exons: 3
Source: RefSeq, a predicted model, not a curated record
GGCCGGCCGGCCACGCAAUGCUGUCUCUGUUGCUGCUCCUCUCAGGGCUGGGCCGGCUGACCUCCGCGGGCCAUCGGUUGCACUCAUUAAAAAUGCUGUAAACCUGAAAGUUUUACUCUGAUUGGAAAAGCAGAGUGUGGUAUUGUACGAUGCUGUGACAAAAACACUUGUAAGCCCCGAGUGCCCAGCCACUCAGGAUGCCCAAGGAUGAGCCCGCACAGCUGAAAGCGAC